CGUCGCCACGGUAAUACAGAGGGUGCAAGCGUUAAUCGGAAUUACUGGGCGUAAAGCGCGCGUAGGUGGUUUGUUAAGUUGGAUGUGAAAUCCCCGGGCUCAACCUGGGAACUGCAUCCAAAACUGGCAAGCUAGAGUAUGGUAGAGGGUGGUGGAAUUUCCUGUGUAGCGGUGAAAUGCGUAGAUAUAGGAAGGAACACCAGUGGCGAAGGCGACCACCUGGACUGAUACUGACACUGAGGUGCGAAAGCGUGGGGAGCAAACAGGAUUAGAUACCCCAGUAGUCCCUGUCUCUUAUACA
This 301-nucleotide ribosomal RNA is filed under the name uncultured bacterium. RNAcentral describes it as "partial 16S ribosomal RNA". It matches the Rfam family "Bacterial small subunit ribosomal RNA", at positions 510 to 808 of the family's 1533-position model. The record is from RNAcentral.